This 427-nucleotide ribosomal RNA is filed under the name uncultured bacterium. Its description in RNAcentral is "partial 16S ribosomal RNA". It matches the Rfam family "Bacterial small subunit ribosomal RNA", at positions 355 to 774 of the family's 1533-position model. The record is from RNAcentral.
UGGGGAAUAUUGGACAAUGAGCGAAAGCCUGAUCCAGCCAUGCCGCGUGUGUGAAGAAGGUCUUCGGAUUGUAAAGCACUUUAAGUUGGGAGGAAGGGCAUUAACCUAAUACGUUAGUGUUUUGACGUUACCGACAGAAUAAGCACCGGCUAACUCUGUGCCAGCAGCCGCGGUAAUAAAGAGGGUGCAAGCGUUAAUCGGAAUUACUGGGCGUAAAGCGCGCGUAGGUGGUUUGUUAAGUUGGAUGUGAAAUCCCCGGGCUCAACCUGGGAACUGCAUUCAAAACUGACUGACUAGAGUAUGGUAGAGGGUGGUGGAAUUUCCUGUGUAGCGGUGAAAUGCGUAGAUAUAGGAAGGAACACCAGUGGCGAAGGCGACCACCUGGACUAAUACUGACACUGAGGUGCGAAAGCGUGGGGAGCAAACA